AUGCUUGCUUUGGCAGCACAUAUACUAAAAUUGAAAUGAUACAGAGAAGAUCAGGCCCUUGUGCAAGGAUGACAUGCAAAUUCAUGAAGUGUUCUGUAUUUUU
RNAcentral lists this small nuclear RNA (103 nucleotides) under Carlito syrichta (Philippine tarsier). Lineage: Eukaryota; Metazoa; Chordata; Mammalia; Primates; Tarsiidae. The record is from RNAcentral.